This 445-nucleotide ribosomal RNA is filed under the name uncultured bacterium. RNAcentral's name for it is "SSU rRNA". It matches the Rfam family "Bacterial small subunit ribosomal RNA", at positions 26 to 518 of the family's 1533-position model. The record is from RNAcentral.
AGAGCGAACGCUGGCGGCAGGCCUAACACAUGCAAGUCGAGCGCCCCGCAAGGGGAGCGGCAGACGGGAGAGUAACACGUGGGAACGUACCCUUCAGUUCGGAACAACCCAGGGAAACUUGGGCUAAUACCGAAUACGUCCGUAAGGAGAAAGAUUUAUCGCUGAAGGAUCGGCCCGCGUCUGAUUAGCUAGUUGGUGAGGUAACGGCUCACCAAGGCUACGAUCAGUAGCUGGUCUGAGAGGAUGAUCAGCCUCACUGGGACUGAGACACGGCCCAGACUCCUACGGGGAGGCAGCAGUGGGGAAUAUUGGACAAUGGGCGCAAGCCUGAUCCAGCCAUGCCGCGUGGAUGAUGAAGGCCUUAGGGUUGUAAAGUCCUUUCGACGGGGAAGAUAAUGACGGUACCCGUAGAAGAAGCCCCGGCUAACUUCGCGCCAGCAGCCGC